GUGUCCUUUUAAAUUGCCACAGUACUUUGAAGAGGCUAACACAGAAGGGUAAAGGACAGAAGUCUCCGUAAAGCCCAGAGAAGAGAUAGCACGCCUCCUCCCAGGAUCUGGUCUGGCGUCACAGGC
Jaculus jaculus (lesser Egyptian jerboa) is the source of this 126-nucleotide small nucleolar RNA. RefSeq annotates it as small nucleolar RNA SNORA26. NCBI's taxonomy places the organism in Eukaryota, Metazoa, Chordata, Mammalia, Rodentia, Dipodidae. The record is from RefSeq and is a predicted model, not a curated record. The transcript has a single exon.